RNAcentral lists this ribosomal RNA (504 nucleotides) under Triticum aestivum (bread wheat). Its description in RNAcentral is "partial small subunit ribosomal RNA". Lineage: Eukaryota; Viridiplantae; Streptophyta; Magnoliopsida; Poales; Poaceae. The record is from RNAcentral.
AUGGUCGACCGAUGGACGGUCACGCGCUACGCGGCCGCCGAGGCGUCCCUGCUCGGCAUCCUGCGCCGCUUCGGCGUGCGCCCCGGCAAGACCGUCCCCCGCGGCGAGCUGCGGCAGGCGGCGCGCAAGCACGUCGGCGACACGGGCCUCCUCGACCACCUCCUCAAGCACACUGCCGACAAGGUGCCGCGCGGCAGCGCCGAGCGCAUCCGUCGCCGCCACAACACCGACGGCGCCAUGGAGUACUGGCUCGAGCCGGCCGAGCUCGCGGCCCUGCGCCGGGAGGUCGGCGUCGACCCGUACUGGGUGCCGCUGCCAGGGUGGAAGCGCGGGGACCCCGUCUCCGCCGACGGCUACGCGCUCAAGGCAAAGAAGCAGAUGGAGGAGCUCACCAAGGAGCUCGCCGGAGUAAAAAGGUCUUUUUCUCCCUUCUCCUGCCAUCUUCCUAUGCAAUUUCUUCUUCAUCUUUGGAUUGGUCUAGUGGAGAAUGCAGUGCAAUGCUGA